CACAUUAGUAUAACAAUAUGACCAUACAAUUGUAGCUGACGGAAGAUGAAUCUAUAUGUUGUUUGAGAGAAUAAACCAAAUGCAUCUUCCAUUGUCCUUCAACACUACUGGUGUUAACUAAACAGUGUGUUUGUGAAGUCAUGAUGAUCUCGUUGCAGGCUGUCAGGCUGUGGAGUCACAGAGGAAGGCUGUGCUUCUCUGGUCUCAGCUCUGAGGUCAAACCCCUCACACCUGAGAGAGCUGGACCUGAGCUACAAUCACCCAGGAGACUCAGGAGUCAGACUGCUCUCUGCUGGACUGGAGGAUCCACACUGCAGACUGGAGAAACUCAAGCUGUCAGGCUGUCUAGUCACAGAGGAAGCCUGUGAUUCUCUGGCCUCAGUUUUCAGUUCAAACCCCUCACACCUGAGAGAGCUGGACCUGAGUAACAAUGACCUGAAGGAUUCAGGCGUGAAGCUGCUCUCUGCUGGACUAGGGAAUCCCCACUGUAAACUGGAGACUCUGAGGCUGUCAGGCUGUCUAGUCACAGAGGAAGGCUGUGAUUCUCUGGUCUCAGCUCUGAGGUCAAACCCCUCACACCUGAGAGAGCUGGACCUGAGUAACAAUG
This is a non-coding RNA of Salmo salar (Atlantic salmon), 607 nucleotides long. The record is from RefSeq and is a predicted model, not a curated record. Lineage: Eukaryota; Metazoa; Chordata; Actinopteri; Salmoniformes; Salmonidae.